GGCUGCUGCAAACUACCUACAAUCUGAAGAUCAGUUUCUGUGCUCCAUCUGUCUGGGUGUGUUCACGGAUCCUGUGACUACAUCAUGUGGUCACAACUUCUGCAAGAACUGCAUCACUGAACACUGGAAUACUAAUGAUCAGUACCUGUGACCGU
This is a long non-coding RNA of Sander lucioperca (pikeperch), 155 nucleotides long. RefSeq lists it as uncharacterized. The record is from RefSeq and is a predicted model, not a curated record. Lineage: Eukaryota; Metazoa; Chordata; Actinopteri; Perciformes; Percidae. The transcript is spliced from 4 exons.